Carcharodon carcharias (great white shark) is the source of this 249-nucleotide small nucleolar RNA. RefSeq annotates it as small nucleolar RNA SNORA53. The transcript has a single exon. The record is from RefSeq and is a predicted model, not a curated record. Lineage: Eukaryota; Metazoa; Chordata; Chondrichthyes; Lamniformes; Lamnidae.
CACACGCUCCUUAGAUCCACCUUUGGGAUGUAUCUGUGUAUCUGUUCUGCCUUGCUGAUAGAUCUCUGCACCCUGGUGUUGGGUUCUCCAAUGGGCUGCCAAAUGACAUUCAUCAACUUGUGGUUGUACAGUCAAAGGUACUUGAGUCAUUGGCAUGUUAAAGUAAUAUAUCUGCACGGUAGCCCCUCAGUUCUGAUGUGUUACUCCAGGCUGUUGCUGCCAUCAGGAUUUUGCUGCUGUGUGGACACG